RNAcentral lists this ribosomal RNA (450 nucleotides) under uncultured bacterium. RNAcentral's name for it is "partial 16S ribosomal RNA". It matches the Rfam family "Bacterial small subunit ribosomal RNA", at positions 354 to 796 of the family's 1533-position model. The record is from RNAcentral.
GUGGGGAAUAUUGGACAAUGGGCGAAAGCCUGAUCCAGCCAUGCCGCGUGUGUGAAGAAGGUCUUCGGAUUGUAAAGCACUUUAAGUUGGGAGGAAGGGCAGUAAGUUAAUACCUUGCUGUUUUGACGUUACCGACAGAAUAAGCACCGGCUAACUUCGUGCCAGCAGCCGCGGUAAUACGAAGGGUGCAAGCGUUAACAGGAAUUACUGGGCGUAAAGCGCGCGUAGGUGGUUCAGCAAGUUGGAGGUGAAAGCCCCGGGCUCAACCUGGGAACUGCCUCCAAAACUACUGGGCUAGAGUACGGUAGAGGGUAGUGGAAUUUCCUGUGUAGCGGUGAAAUGCGUAGAUAUAGGAAGGAACACCAGUGGCGAAGGCGACUACCUGGACUGAUACUGACACUGAGGUGCGAAAGCGUGGGGAGCAAACAGGAUUAGAAACCCUUGUAGUCC